GCGGGAAUAGCUCAGUUGGUAGAGCAUCACGUUGCCAACGUGAAUGUCGCGAGUUCGAGUCUCGUUUCCCGCUCCA
This 76-nucleotide transfer RNA is filed under the name Gammaproteobacteria bacterium. RNAcentral's name for it is "tRNA-Gly". It matches the Rfam family "tRNA". Rfam says of the family: Transfer RNA (tRNA) molecules are approximately 80 nucleotides in length. Their secondary structure includes four short double-helical elements and three loops (D, anti-codon, and T loops). RNAcentral also lists the same sequence under 3 other names. Lineage: Bacteria; Pseudomonadati; Pseudomonadota; Gammaproteobacteria. The record is from RNAcentral.